UACGUAGGGUGCGAGCGUUAAUCGGAUUUACUGGGCGUAAAGCGUGCGCAGGCGGCCGUGAAAGUCCGGUGUGAAAUCCCUGGGCUCAACCUAGGAAUUGCGCUUGUGACUGGCGGGCUCGAGUACGGUAGAGGGGGGUGGAAUUCCUGGUGUAGCAGUGAAAUGCGUAGAGAUCAGGAGGAACACCGAUGGCGAAGGCAGCCCCCUGGGCCUGUACUGACGCUCAUGCACGAAAGCGUGGGGAGCAAACAGG
RNAcentral lists this ribosomal RNA (253 nucleotides) under uncultured microorganism. Its description in RNAcentral is "partial 16S ribosomal RNA". It matches the Rfam family "Bacterial small subunit ribosomal RNA", at positions 524 to 776 of the family's 1533-position model. The record is from RNAcentral.